Molecule: long non-coding RNA, 271 nt
Organism: Daphnia pulex (common water flea)
Lineage: Eukaryota; Metazoa; Arthropoda; Branchiopoda; Diplostraca; Daphniidae
Exons: 2
Source: RefSeq, a predicted model, not a curated record
AUACUUAUUCAACACACGUAUUAGUCACUCAUAAAAUCAGGUCAAUUUUUUUUUUGGAAACGGAACAAAAAACUAAAGAGAUGGGAAAAAAGGGUGAAUGUAAGGAGAAAAGUUUCAUUCUUCAGAUUUUCUCAAGUGCGGAAACCGGAACCUUCGGUUAGUCUCCGUUUGUUCAACUGAUUGUUUUCCUCCUUUAACCGCUCUAUUAUCUCCUUCAUAGACUUCGUCUGUGCCUGAAAAUGAAAAUGCAAUAAAAGUUGAUUCGUUUUUA